This 468-nucleotide ribosomal RNA is filed under the name uncultured bacterium. RNAcentral describes it as "partial 16S ribosomal RNA". It matches the Rfam family "Bacterial small subunit ribosomal RNA", at positions 28 to 507 of the family's 1533-position model. The record is from RNAcentral.
GACGAACGCUGGCGGCGUGCUUAACACAUGCAAGUCGAACGGAAAUGCCCUGCUUUUUUGGGGUUCUCUCGUUGCGAACGGGUUAGUUACCCGUUAGUUACCUUCCCCUUCCUUUCGGAUUACUCCCUUAAACUGGUGCUAAUUCCGGAUUGUUCUUCCUGCUGCGUGUUGGGUGUCUGAAAGUUUCUGCGGUUUGUGAUGGACUCGCGGCUUAUCAGCUUGUUGGUUGGGUACUUGUUUAACAAGGCUUUGACGGGUAGCCGGCCUGAGAGGGUGACCGGCAACAUUGGGACUGAGGUACGGGCCAGACGCCGACGGGAGGCAGCAGUGGGGAAUAGUGCAAAGUGGGGAGAAGCCGGAUGCAGCAACGCCGCGUGGGGGAUGAAGGCCUUCGGGUUGUAAACAGGGUUCGGCUGUGACGGAGCGUGAGUGACGGUAAUGGGUAAAGAAGCACCGGCUAACUACGUG